UAAAACACAGGCAAGCCUAAACAUGAUAUGAUAGUCCAUAAAAUGCCAAAUCAGUAACCUAUCAUUAUAACCUAACUUCCUUCACACGCUCUAACUUGGAGAAACGAACAGUUAGAUUGAUAACUUGGUCAACUCAACUUAGUUCCUCCCACCCAACCUCAACUUAGUAGCCAAAAAUGGCUGCUUUACACACCAUUUCUCCUCACGGUCUCUUUCCUCUUUCAAAAACCAACAAAACCAUUUCAAUCCUUCACACGCUCUAACUUGGAGAAACGAACAGUUAGAUUGAUAACUUGGUCAACUCAACUUAGUUCCUCCCACCCAACCUCAACUUAGUAGCCAAAAAUGGCUGCUUUACACACCAUUUCUCCUCACGGUCUCUUUCCUCUUUCAAAAACCAACAAAACCAUUUCAAAAAACCUGCAAAACCCUCAGUUUCUCAACCCAAAAUUACCAAAGAGUCAAUUUUUUUCCAGAAACAAACAGAGCUGGCACUUGAAUUCUAUUGUCUAAGAAGAGCUCAAUGUUAUUCCAGUACAAAGUGGUGACAAUGUAGACCAGCAUGAAGGGAUAGUAGAGAGUCAAGCAAAGAGAGAAGGGACAAAGUUGGCUACUCGGGUGAGUGGGUUUGGAGGGAGUGAAGGUAGUUUUCUUUUGAAGGGUUCUCUUUAGCUUCAAGUUCUGGUAUUGAUGGAGAGGAAAUUGGAAUCCGAGACGUUAAUUGAUAAGACCAUCAAUGCAAUGAUCGUUCUUGGUGUUGGUACUUAUUCUAUCACCAAGUUGCUCACAGUUGACCAUAAUUACUGGCAUGAAUGUUCUUCAUGCGUAGCAUUUCUUGACAAUUUCCCUUGGCGUUGGAGCAAAUUUGAUUCUGUUUCUUGUAUCACCUUCGGCUUUGAAUUUGUGUCCUCUGGCUUAAAGUUAUGCAAUUAAGAUAUGAUUUUAUGGAAGCCGAAGGUUUUAUUGGGGGUAUUAAGAAUGCUAGGAUUUUUUUUUUUGAUUUUUGUAAUAAAAGAAGUUUGGGACUUAUGGCUUAACAUAUGCAGCUUAUGACUUGUACAGAAGAUUCAUUAAAACCUUUGAUUCGUAUUCUGGUUUA
Molecule: long non-coding RNA, 1099 nt
Organism: Populus trichocarpa (black cottonwood)
Lineage: Eukaryota; Viridiplantae; Streptophyta; Magnoliopsida; Malpighiales; Salicaceae
Exons: 2
Source: RefSeq, a predicted model, not a curated record